CGAGUUUAAUGGUCCGGAAUAACACACGGCUGCAAAUUGUUUUAAAUGAUAGAAUAAUAUAUAUAUUUUAAUUUUCGUCGGGUCGUAAAAAGCUUCUUUGGUCACAUUUUUGUAUUUUAUUCCUUUAAUUGGGGUACCCCUCGAUUUACGGUUUUGGGUAGUUACCUUAAAAUCCAAAAAUAUAUUUUUUGGUUAAAUUUCCCGCUAUUUUCGUAAAUAUUUUCUAUGCACAUAUCAUCAAGGAUCAUCGGAAUGAUGAAGACAUAAAUAUAAUACCAUCUCCAAGUAAAACUUUCAAACUUAAAGUUGGCUGUUUUUUUAGAUAGAAAUUUAACGCGUUUUUCUUUGAAAACGAGAAAACAUAUGAUUCAAAAACAGUAUUUGACAUUUGAGAGGACAAAACAUAUUAUUGCGAUACUGCAUGCAAAUUUUGUUGGGCAAAAUUCCAAACAAUUUUGUCAAAAACUCAAAAAUAAAAACAUCAUUUGUACCUUUUUUAAUUACGGAAAUUUCCUAUCCGUCAAUCAGCUCCACCA
This 536-nucleotide long non-coding RNA is filed under the name Mytilus galloprovincialis (Mediterranean mussel). Lineage: Eukaryota; Metazoa; Mollusca; Bivalvia; Mytilida; Mytilidae. The record is from RNAcentral.